UUCUUUGAAAAGAAAUUUAGAACUCAUACCUAACAACUCUUCCUCUUGUAUUUCCUUACAGCUUUCUUUUCAAACUUUUUAAACAUGUCUUAGCUUAGUUGUUUUGCUUGAUUUUCCAAAAGAAGAAGCUUCUCUGGAUAAGGUGGAGGAUAGCUAAGGGAGGUUUUAGUAAGUGCCGUUUUUAUGAACCUCUGCAUCGACUUACGGAUGCAUGGUAUGACACAGCACCCGACAAGAAUAAGUAUACCUAUUACGGGUGUGAGGUAAAUUCUUAAGACUCAUCUGCAGAAUGUCUCUUAGGCUGCAUAAAAUACAGACUUUGCACAAAACUUGGUCUAAAAUGAGUAACUUGAAAAAAUUAUUCUCCUACUGACAUCAGCUCGUUGAGCUUUAAUUGUGCCUCUGAUUUACAUGAGAAAACAUAAAAGGGAGUAGAAAGUUACAAUUAAAGGAAGGAAAACAGUCCCUUUCAGCUACUGCCACAGAUCUAUUGUACAGAAUACUUCUCUAUGGAAUACUUCCUCUAUGGCCACAGGCCAGUUCCACUCAGCACUCCUCUCUUUGAAGAGGCCACAAAUCUGACUAAUUUUCAUUUAACUUCAUGGGGCAAGGAAGGGGGCUUCACAGAAUUUCCUAAUCUGUUUCUCUUUAUCAAAUACAUAAUCACUUUUUCUAUCUGCUGAAAAAUAAACCUGCAACAAAAUGAUCAAGACAGUAGAAAAUGCUGUUAUUAUAUUAUUUGAUUGGAGAGCAAAGGCUAAUUUUUGUUUCCUAUUAUAUUCCUUUUGAUUACUAGCACAUGGCAACACUCUGAACACAGUAGGUGCUUUUUGUGUCUAUUAAACUGGAUUUGAGGUGGCACCUGCUCUGUACAUACAUGCCUUUGGUUUGUUUCUUUUUUGCUUUUCAAAAGAUUCCUAUGCUUCCUCAGUGUUGAGACUACUUUUUCUGUUUUCUUUCUCUGGGAUUCAGAGACACUGAGUUCUGCUCCUGGAGUUAUUUAUAGUUUUGGUAGCUAGGUCUCACAUACCUCCUUUGUGCUUCCAAGAGUGUUGUAGGAGUAUAUGUUCUGUCACUGCAGAUGAUCUGUUUUCAUCAUAUUAACAAGGAGAUGGCUGACUAGGUGCUGUGCUUCCCUUUUAGUUGUUCCUUUAUAUUUUUAUGAAUUAAUUUCUGUUUACUUUUGAUAAUUUUCUUAACAGACAUUUGUGCCUCUAUGCAAUCAUAUGUGUCUGUUCCCAUAAGCAGCAGCUUAGUCAAUCACUCAGGGAAAUACAUGCAUCUCUAUGCAUUCACCAGACUGAAGUUCUCCCAGAAACAAGCCCCUGUGCUUCAUUAAACUAUUGAUUUGGUUGUCAUAGAUCAGCUGAAAUGUAUAUCCUUAAAAUGAAGGGAAGUCUCAUGAAGCACUUACACUUAUUAUCUGUUUAUCUAAAAAAAUCAGCAUGUAAAAUUCUGACUUAAGGUUAAAAUUUUCUCUGAAGGGUCAACAUUCCAAAUUUUUACUUAGAUUAUUAGUUAGCUGCUCUGUUGAAUUCUCCCCUCUACCUUAUAGAAAUAAAAUAUUUUGGUUGUUGUUGUAAGAAAGAAUCCAUCAUAUCCAUAUAAAGCACCAAGCCACAUGUUUAGCAAUUGUUUCCAAUAACAAAGUAUGAAACUUGAGAAUGACCUUGGAAGUAGAAAGAUAACUAGUCCCAUGACUAUUAUGCCUAUAUUGUGCCUAUUAUGGGCCACUUGCAGUACUAGACCCCCUACAUGCAUUAUAUCAUUUUAUCCUCCCAACAUCUGACAAUGAAAGAAAUGAAGGCAAAAAGAUUAACUUGGGCAUAUGCUAGCAAGUAGCAGAGCUAGGAAUCAUAUCAAGUUUUUCCUAAGUAUGAAAUUGUUAUUUCUGGAGACAUCUCUCCAUUUAUCCCACAUAUUCUGAUUUGUAUAGUUUGGGGAGUGAGAGGUAGUUUUCCAUAUUUUAAUGUAUAUAAAUGACCUAUGCAGAACUCAAAGGCAGAAUUAACAAGGAAGUGAAAAUAGUUUUAUUCUUCUAAUAUCAUGUAUUUCCUUAUAUAUUAAGGAAGAAUUGGUCUCUGUUUAGCAUAACCAUUAUUAAAAAUAUUUAUGUGAGAAAAAAUGUGUCUGGAACUGUUAGAAAUAUACAAUUAAAUAUGUUAUUUGUCCACUUUAUAUGAUAUUUAUGCUAUAUGUGUCUAUUUCUCCUCCUUGCUUUUUAGGUUAUCAGCAUGAAAAUCAGCCUCUGUUUCUAAGAAAUUCUAAAAAUAUUACUCACCUAUGCCUAUCAUGUCCUGCCACAUUAUAAUCUUGGUUACAGCUCUCAAAAUGUCAGAGCAGAUCAUGAACUAAAGAUGUGUCAUAGGUAAAAUCAUUUAAAAGGCAAAUUCAACAUAAUGAACUGAAGAAAAAAAUCCAACCAUGAGAAUAGUUGAUGUUGACUAUAAUUAAAAAAAAAAUAGCAUUCUUUACAAAAUGCAAAACUGUAUGAGCACUAGGAUUAAAACUGCUAAUCCCUUUCUUUUCCCCAGACCUCCCCAGCUAGCCAUAAAUUCCAUCUGGCCCAUUGCAGGGGGCCCUGAUUGCCUCCUGCACUGCUGGAAUUCAGGCAGGAUGGAGAUAGACAGUUUUCACCCCAUGAGUUGGUGAGUUCAGAAAGAGUAUUGUGUUGCUCUGGACAAGCAAUCCUUCCAAAUUUUAGAAACAGUCUGGGGAUGUGUAUUCAAGAAAUCUGCUCCCUUUUCACGUUCUCCCUAGUCCCUUGGAAGGGACACCCAUCUGGGCUGUCCAUCUGUCCAGAAUUGGAUUGUGGUCGCCAAGUCGCUCUUCCCUUCCGGGUGAUUGAUUCAUGAUCAUCAGUGAUCUUCAUCACAUCCGCAGCUCCCCUGGGAGCCGAUAUAUAUUUUUAAAAAUUAACUGAGUGCCUUAACUAGUAGCUGUCGGUGAUACAGUGAGAGAGAAGACACUUCAAGACAGUUGGGAUGACAGACAAGUAAAAAGUAAAAGGAGCUACCAUGGGGAUGUGCAAGAGGCGGUUUGAAAACACCUAAUCUCCCCUCUACCCCCACCGACACCCCACUUGGAGGAUCAAGAAAGGAUUCCUAGGGGAAGUGACAGUUAAGCUAAGUCCCGUAGUAUCACCAGGAAUAUUAGAGGACCAGCCAGAUGAAGAGCAAGUAGGUAACUGGAGGAGCCCUGAGGAAGGACCUAGGGAGGGCAGAAUGAUGUCAUCCACAAGCAAGGAUCACUAUAUGGCAAGAUCCAGUUGGGAGACAGAGAUGGUGGGGAACUCAGAGAAGUGCAAAUGGCUGAGCAUAGCUGGAGAGAAAAUCAUCUGCCACGGAAGCCCUAGUCUGGCAGGAAAGAAGAGUCAUUAGGCAUCAUCUGGCAACUUGGCUUGGAGAAGUCAGAUCAGUCACCAAGAGUCUGGUGGGGCUGCAGCAAUGGCUAGAAAGAACCAGUGACAUGAUUGCCAGAUAGAGUGGUCAGAGAAGACCUUUCUGAGGCCAUGGUAUUUAAGAUGAGACUUGAAGAGCAACAAGAAGCUAGACACACAAAGCAGAUAAUUUUUUAAUGGCCAUUUCUGGAGAGAAGUUUCCAAGGGAUGAAGUUAUUAUACAGUUUCCAAAUAUUCCUGAAGAGGUCUAAAGAAAAUGUAUUCUGAUUCCACCUUUUACCUGUUUUCCUUUUUUUUUUUCUCUCUCUCUCUUUUUGGAAUUUGUUAUUUGGAUAUAGGAUACACUAGGCUGGUGCUCCAAUUUUCUUAUAUUUUCUGUUUUCCUUGAAGUUUUAGGGGACUUUCUGAACUUUAUUUUUCAAAAUUCAGUUGAGUCUUUAUUGUUUUCCAAAUAUCAACAUUUCUUACCCAGACUAAUGAACUAGCCUACUCACUCAUCUUUCUGAUCCUAUUCCUCUAUAUUAUCCACCCCAAUCCCAAGUUAAUUCUUGUAUGGUCUUUUUGAAAGACUGCAUGAGGUUUUUUGUUUUUAUUUCUGCUUAAAUUAUUUGCUGAUUUAUUUGCACUUAGGAUACAGGCCUAAAUCCUUAGCUUUGCUGACAUCAUGAAAGAUGUGGGCCCUCCCUAGCACUCCAGUUUCAUCUUACAUCAUGCCACUCUUUGGUACUUUAUCCUUACUGUCCAGCUUCAUUUCCUAGAGUGUCCUGUGACCCUCUUGACUCAGAGCCUCUGCACGUGCUGUUCCCUGUGUUUGUCUCCUUUGUCCAGCUCUACCAACUUCCUUUAUCUCUCAGUGUUCAGGUGUCAUCUCAUCUCCAGCAUGAAUUAGAUGUCUUAUCUUGUGCUUCUCAUUGGGCUAUACUGUAAUGCUUAGCACAUUAGUCAGUUCCCUCAUUGCUAUAAAGAAAUACCUGAGGCUGGGUAAUUUAUAAAGAAAGGAGGUUUAAUUGGCUCACAGUUCUGCA
Molecule: long non-coding RNA, 4425 nt
Filed under: Homo sapiens (human)
Lineage: Eukaryota; Metazoa; Chordata; Mammalia; Primates; Hominidae
Description: HSALNT0348341
Source: RNAcentral